This 439-nucleotide ribosomal RNA is filed under the name uncultured bacterium. RNAcentral describes it as "partial 16S ribosomal RNA". It matches the Rfam family "Bacterial small subunit ribosomal RNA", at positions 339 to 795 of the family's 1533-position model. The record is from RNAcentral.
CUACGGGUGGCAGCAGUAGGGAAUAUUGCACAAUGGAGGAAACUCUGAUGCAGCAACGCCGCGUGGAGGAUGACACUUUUCGGAGCGUAAACUCCUUUUAUAUAGGAAGAAGAUGACGGUACUAUAUGAAUAAGCGCCGGCUAACUCCGUGCCAGCAGCCGCGGUAAUACGGAGGGCGCAAGCGUUACUCGGAAUCACUGGGCGUAAAGAGCGUGUAGGCGGAUUAAAAAGUCAGAAGUGAAAUCCUAUAGCUUAACUAUAGAACUGCUUCUGAAACUCUUAAUCUAGAAUAUGGGAGAGGUAGAUGGAAUUUCUGGUGUAGGGGUAAAGUCCGUAGAGAUCAGAAGGAAUACCGAUUGCGAAGGCGAUCUACUAGAACAUUACUGACGCUAAGGCGUGAAAGCGUGGGGAGCAAACAGGAUUAGAUACCCCCGUAGUC